This 420-nucleotide ribosomal RNA is filed under the name uncultured bacterium. Its description in RNAcentral is "bacterial SSU rRNA". It matches the Rfam family "Bacterial small subunit ribosomal RNA", at positions 500 to 916 of the family's 1533-position model. The record is from RNAcentral.
CCUACGGGAGGCAGCAGCCGCGGUAAUACAGAGGAUGCAAGCGUUAUCCGGAAUCACUGGGCAUAAAGCGUCUGUAGGUUGCUUGCCAAGUCUGCUGUUAAAGACUAGGGCCUAACCCUGGGAAAGCAGUGGAAACUAGCAGGCUUGAGUGUGGUAGAGGUAGAGGGAAUUCCUGGUGUAGCGGUGAAAUGCGUAGAUAUUAGGAAGAACACCAAUGGCGAAAGCACUCUGCUGGGCCACAACUGACACUGAGAGACGACAGCUAGGGGAGCAAAUGGGAUUAGAUACCCCAGUAGUCCUAGCCGUAAACGAUGGAUACUAGGUGUUGCACGUAUUAACCCGUGCAGUAUCGUAGCUAAGGCGUUAAGUAUCCCGCCUGGGAAGUACGCUCGCAAGAGUGAAACUCAAAUGAAUUGACGG